UCAAGGAGCUCAGCGACAGAACUGUGGCAAAGUACAGAUCUGGCCAAGGUUACAAAAGAAGAUCUGCAGCACCCAAGGUUCCUAAGAGCACAGUGGUCUCCAUAAUCCUUAAAUGGAAGAAGUUUGGGAUGACCAGAACUCUUCCUAGACCUGGCCAUCCAACCAAACUGACCAAUCGUGGGAGAAGAGCCUUGAUGAGAGAGGUAAAGAGGAACCCAAAGAUCACUGUGGCUGAGCUCCAGAGAUGCAGCAGGGAGAUGGGAGAACGUUCCACAAAGUCAACUAUCACUGCAGCUCUCCACUAGUCGGGUUUAUGGCAGAGUGGCCCUACAGAAGCCUCUCCUCAUUGCAACACAUAUGAAAGGCCGCAUAGAGAUUGCCAAAAAAUAUGUGAAAGACUCCCAGACUAUGAGAAAUUAAGAUUCUCUGGUCUGAUGAGACGAAGACUGAACUUUUUUUUUUUUUCCGGCACUAAUGGCCUUUAUUUUUGACAGUAGGCAGGCAGAAAAAAGGCAUGCUUUCUAUUUCUGAAAUGUCGCGGGUCCAGGACUUGAACCGGGAUGGCUGCUUUGAGGACUGCACCUUCUGUUUAUGGUCGUGCGCUUAACCCCUACACCAUCAGCGCCGCAUCCCGAAGAUUGAACUUUUUGGUGUUAAUUCUAAGCGCUGCAGGGACAAGAUGACUGGUUGCAAUUGAAGGAAAGAUGAAUGCGGCCAAGUACAGUGAUAUCCUGGAAGAAAACCACUCUCUGAGUGCUCAGGACCUCAGAUUGGGCCGAAGGUUCACCUUCCAAGAAGACAGUGACCUUUAGCACACAGCUAAAAUAACAAAGGAGUGGCUUCGGAACAACUCUGUGACCAUUCUUGACUGGCCCAGCCAGAGCCCUGACCUAAACCCAAUUGAGCAUCUCUGGACAGACCUGAAAAUGGCUGUCCACCAACGUUCACCAUCCAACCUGACGGAACUGGAGAGGAUCUGCAAGGAAGAAUGGCAGAGGAUCCCCAAAUCCAGGGGUGAAAAACUUGUUGCAUCAUUCCAAAGAAGACUCAUGGCUAUACUAGCUCAAAAGGGUGCUUCUACUCAAUACUGAGCAAAGGGUCUGAAUACUUGUGACCAUGUGAUAUCUCAGUUUUUCUUUUUAAUAAAUUUGCAAACAUUUCUA
Long non-coding RNA from Girardinichthys multiradiatus, 1163 nucleotides. RefSeq lists it as uncharacterized. NCBI's taxonomy places the organism in Eukaryota, Metazoa, Chordata, Actinopteri, Cyprinodontiformes, Goodeidae. The record is from RefSeq and is a predicted model, not a curated record. The transcript is spliced from 2 exons.